This 253-nucleotide ribosomal RNA is filed under the name uncultured bacterium. RNAcentral's name for it is "partial 16S ribosomal RNA". It matches the Rfam family "Bacterial small subunit ribosomal RNA", at positions 524 to 776 of the family's 1533-position model. The record is from RNAcentral.
UACGUAGGGCGCAAGCGUUAUCCGGAAUUAUUGGGCGUAAAGAGCUCGUAGGCGGUUUGUCGCGUCUGCCGUGAAAGUCCGGGGCUCAACUCCGGAUCUGCGGUGGGUACGGGCAGACUAGUGUGAUGUAGGGGAGACUGGAAUUCCUGGUGUAGCGGUGAAAUGCGCAGAUAUCAGGAGGAACACCGAUGGCGAAGGCAGGUCUCUGGGCAUUAACUGACGCUGAGGAGCGAAAGCAUGGGGAGCGAACAGG